Misgurnus anguillicaudatus (oriental weatherfish) is the source of this 380-nucleotide long non-coding RNA. RefSeq lists it as uncharacterized. The record is from RefSeq and is a predicted model, not a curated record. Lineage: Eukaryota; Metazoa; Chordata; Actinopteri; Cypriniformes; Cobitidae.
GACACACGCCAGCAUGAAUGCACGCACGCGCAAGCGAGCGAGCGCACAGCAGGGAGCGAGAGAAAACCGAGAAUACAUCCCAGGGAAUGACAGGAUGAUGAUUUACUUCAAACUCCCCAAAAAUCUUUACAAGAGGGUCGGCGCAGUGGUGCCCCACGGGUGGUUGGAGAUCGUGGAAGGGUGGAACAGCUGAAGAGCACGUCACUGGCCAGAGCCUGCUCCAAAACUGAGUCUCCCAGGGAUGGCAGCCUUUGACCCCGGUAUAUACUCUCAUCGGACAGGGUGCGGUGUAGAGAACGUCGCCCUGAGGUUGCUGGACUUGAGGAGGAGGACUGCAGAUACAAACGAGAAUAAAGAGGGUGACCAAUGAGUGACCAAAA